Non-coding RNA from Chiloscyllium plagiosum (whitespotted bambooshark), 72 nucleotides. NCBI's taxonomy places the organism in Eukaryota, Metazoa, Chordata, Chondrichthyes, Orectolobiformes, Hemiscylliidae. The record is from the annotation of a RefSeq genome assembly.
GCGGUGGUGGUGUAGUGGUGAGCAUAGCUGCCUUUCAAGCAGUUGAUUUGGGUUCGAUUCCUGGCUAUCGCA